UUAAUACUUUCUUAACGCGCUCCCAUGAAAUGACCUAGCAGAAACUUCGACAUCCUUUUUACCCUUCAUACCAUAUGGCACUCUCUCACUCUUCGCUUACUAAAUAUUCAACAUCUCUCUCUCUCUCUCUCUCGCUCGUUUUCCUCCCUCGUCUAGCAAAGUUCAAAAGUCCGAUACUACCGUAGUCAAGAUCACGUCCCAUCGAACCGGUAGAGAACGAAAUAAAAUAAUGGAGCCCUACUAAAGUCUCUUGAGUAAAUGCUAUCAAGUUAUAUGACAAUUAAUAGGGAAGUGCAGAGGCGGCGUUAUUACACCGGCCGAUAUUAUAUCAGUAGCGUUUACAUCUAUCGUAUUCCUCUCUUCGUAUACGAAGUCAAAGCAUUUUCAUUUCAGCCCGCAAGAGUAAGAGAGAUAGAGAAAGGAGGGAAGAAGAAAGGCGAGAAAAAACAAAGAGUAAAAAAAUAGGAUUUCACGCUUGGCUGACUAAUGAAAACGGGCGAUGCUGUCUACUGCGACUCGAUUAUCCUCCACCAAUUAAAGCUACAAAUUUAGACUUUCCAUAUUCAUUUAAUCCGUAGCCGUUGGCUGGUUAUCUACAUUGGUCGCGAAGAUCCCAGAGGGAAAAGUAUACGUUGCCGGAGUGCACUCAAUAUUCAUCUUGUUAAUUGAUAAAACGAGUACAGUUAUGAGUUUAGAAAUGUAAAUUCUUUAAGGUACCCGGAUCGUUGCCUUUCGUCUGAGCUCCAUGAAAUAAAAGGUUUUUAUGUAUGCUGUACACGACGCAGCCAAUAAGGUUACCCCUAAUGGCCGCCAUGAUGUUAAACUCGGUAAGAGACUAUAGCACUAUAUACGUACUAGACGAGAUAUUUGAUAUGUAGCAGAGCUUAAACAGUGCGGAAAAUACAUGAACGAUUACUCCCGUACAAACGGGGUCGUUAACGAUACAAACGGGCUCUUAAUCUGGAAAAAAGCACUUCGUUCCCUUCGUGCAUUUACCACCUCGUUUUCCACUGCGAAGCUAAUUAUUCUCGAAAGCCAACCCGUUGACGUUUUUUUUUCCUCCGGUUCUCCUAUGUCCCGGUUUUUUUGGUUAAACCUCCACUAUCCCUUUAUUCCCUUUUGUUAAAGCGGUAUUACCGCAGUGCGCUCCUUUUGUUUUCUCUGUUCCAAGUAACGACUUGCCUCCGGUAACGUUGCUACCGUCCCAAUAAAUACAGUCCGGACAAGGUAACCGAGGUAAAGGGAACGUACCGAAGAUCCUCGCCGAGCUUGUCACUCACUUUUGGUACUGUGCCCGCACAUCAGAGAUGCCAAUGGAAUGAAAGUGGUAACGGAAGAGCAAUGACCGAGCCAAUGUACGACAACUACAGGAGAGGAAUCGUAUCUCGUCCGGACGAGUACAUAUGUAUACGUUAUACUGUCCGUCCUGAGUAAAUCUUGAUUACAGUCCGACACCAAGGAAUUGGAUGGGACAAUAACAUAAGGUGACAGAUAGCCAUAUACUUGCAUACGUACAAUACAGUUUCGAGAAAAGGAAUUUUUAAGGUUAGAAGAGAAAAAGUAAAAGGAAAAGAGACACGAGCAAGACGAAACAGUAAACAUUCGUAGAAAGGUGAACGAUACCGGGUUCUCGCUAACGAGACGAAAACUGGUCAAACGACUAUUGUUAGACCGUGGUAGUUGGUCUAGAAGGUAGUGCACAGGAGAAUUGCUUUUGUACUCGUAUGUGGUACUUGGAACGUGCCCGAGCAUAUACGCACAAACUUACACGCACCUGCGUACAAUAAUAGGGACGAUCAUCCUGAAGAGGAUUCUCGUCAAUUCGAUGAUUGGAAACCGGCUUGAUGGAAGUACACAUUAUAUACAGCAGGUCCACAUGUUCCAGCUGUCCGAAAUGUUGACAGGAUCCCAUCCUCCGGGCGAAUGGGGUUGUCCAAAAACCCGUGGCCAUUCAAGAGAACGAGGAUCAGGAACAACAGAGGGAAUGUACAAGGACAGUUAAAGCGCCUGGAUAAGGGUGACCCUUCGUCCCAUUUUCGUAUCGCAGGUUAAAUAAAAGCCAGUUAUCAUGAUAUAUUUUUCAGUGGCACCACUUCCUGGCAAAGAGAUGCCACAAGUGCCAUGGAUUAUACAGUUAUAAAAAAUGAGAAAGGAACCAAGCUCUGGUAUAAAGCAUCCUCAAGAUUUUUACUUUAUAAAAAAAAAAAAAAAAAAAAAAAUGAAAGAGAAAAAUCACCCCACUUUCUACCGGCAAGGAUCCUCGAAAUGCAUGACGGCGUCUAUCGGACGUGCGCAUGAGAAAAUUCUUUUUAAUUAGAGCAGUCCUCCAGUUAAAGCAUACAAAGUUAUUUUUAUUCUUACCGUGCAAGCGAAGCUGCGCGAGUGAGAGAUGAAGACAAAGAGAUGUGUUGAAGGAUGAAGCAAAUGGAGAAGACCAAAGAGAAGGAAGCAUGUGUGUCAGUGCCUUAAUAUAUAUCAUCUCCAUGUGCAUGUUACGUACUAAGGACGAGUACAUAGCCAUAUAUACCCCAUAGUACAUGGAGAGUGAAUCUGUGAACUACCGCAUGUUUACAAGUAUAUAAUAUAUACAUGGUCGGUAAGAAAAUCGGUAAAGGGAUGUCGUUCCUCAAAAACGCACACGUGGAGCGCAGCUUUCACACUGUCCUCGUCUGGAGUGAAUCUUUACCACCGGCUAAGGAUUAUCCGGCCCAGCAAGAGAAUCAUAUGUAAAAGACUGAAAAGCAGCUCAGGCUCUGGCUUGGCGUACAAGUUUUAGUCGCCAUCCGUAGCAAAAUAAUACAUCCGAUAUAGAGCCUGAGUACUGUUACAAACUGAGUCGUCAUCCACGAUAAAGUGGGGAACGUAUAUCCGUAAAGAUAUUUCAAAUGUCUGCACGACUAACGUUAAUCCAAGGGGAAACGCCGAGAUAGAAUUUUUUUUUCAAGUAUUUUUGUUAGUAUCGAUUAAACCAUCCUGUUUCAUCUCGUCGGGAGCUCUAUGGGUAUAUAUGGGCUGUGGGAAUCCGUUUGCAUUUUUCAUAGAACCACAGGAUUUUUCAUCGUUCCCCGGAUGAAUUACGCGAUAUAGAAUUUUACUCGGUACGUCGCACUUUUUCAUUUCAAUCUGCCGUUUCAAACUCUGCCAGCUCUUUCCUUUUAUUUUGCCUUUUUCUACCUUCUAUCUAUGGCUCUGCUGUUGGCUCUAUGUCCGUUACCCAUAGUCUGUUCUCUUUCACUCAUUUUUAUUUUGAAUCUCUCACUCUUCCACCAUCAACCAUUUUUUUUUCAUUUAUCUAUUUUUUAUGCAGCUGCUGCUUCACUAGACGUGCUACCUCAUAUAAUGCUCGCCGUACACAUGCAAGGGAGUGAACUGUAACAUCAUAAUAUGACAGACAGUAGCUAUGAAAGAUGCAAUUUCCUGUUUAAAAUACAUACAUAGCUCUAUUGACAAAACUAUAGAGAUGGAAGCUUAUUAGAAUGAUUAUGAACCUAGAAAAUGAGAUCUCAUGGGAAAAUCAAGCUUGUCCGAAUGAUGUUUCGCGCAUCAAGGUCAAUUCACACUGCGUGCCCUGCAGUUGUUCGUUAUAUUUAGAUGGUGAUUACUGUAGUGCGUUAUUUAAAUAAGCGGUAAUCGCUUCGCGAAGAAUACUAAGGGGAGAAGAGUUCGAGGCUAAAUUGCCAAUGGCUUCGGCGGUAUCAAGGAUCGGGCGAUGGUAUACAUUUACAUACUAUAUAUAUAUAUAUAUAUAUAUAUAUAUAUAUAUAUGCAAAUAGAUACGUUUCAAUCGUAAAUCACUCGCCCUGCUUGGAAUAAUGAAUAUGCCGCGCUUCUGCGAUCGAUUAAAACUAUAUAUGGAGGCGACGAUUAAAAUGUUUGUCUAGCCACUAACUCUUUUUUUUUGUACCGCCAAAUUAAUCCCUGCAGGCGUUCACCGGCCAGACCUUUUGAAUCAUACUGAAAUUGUAUCACUCUGUUUCAGUUAAUGCAACGUCCAAAACAGCUGUUGAGGACAGUAAACUUUUGAGUAAAAUUUCGUUGAAAAGGUUGCAAGAGGUUACCGUUUUAGGAGUCGUCGUAAACCCAGAAGGUCGGGUCACCGCGUCACACUUCCG
Molecule: long non-coding RNA, 4112 nt
Organism: Cephus cinctus (wheat stem sawfly)
Lineage: Eukaryota; Metazoa; Arthropoda; Insecta; Hymenoptera; Cephidae
Exons: 4
Source: RefSeq, a predicted model, not a curated record